CCGGGUUCGAUGCAGACACACCCGGUCCUGAAAGACGAUCCGUCCAAGUGCUGC
RNAcentral lists this non-coding RNA (54 nucleotides) under unclassified sequences. Its description in RNAcentral is "chromate-resist RNA". It matches the Rfam family "chrB-b RNA". The record is from RNAcentral.